CGGCGGACGGGUGAGUAACACGUGGGUAACCUACCUAUAAGACUGGGACAACUUCGGGAAACCGGAGCUAAUACCGGAUAAGAUAUCGAACCGCAUGGUUCGAUAGUGAAAGAUGGUUUUGCUAUCACUUAUAGAUGGACCCGCGCCGUAUUAGCUAGUUGGUGAGGUAACGGCUCACCAAGGCAACGAUACGUAGCCGACCUGAGAGGGUGAUCGGCCACACUGGAACUGAGACACGGUCCAGACUCCUACGGGCAGCAGGU
This 263-nucleotide ribosomal RNA is filed under the name uncultured Staphylococcus sp. RNAcentral describes it as "partial 16S ribosomal RNA". It matches the Rfam family "Bacterial small subunit ribosomal RNA", at positions 96 to 351 of the family's 1533-position model. The record is from RNAcentral. Lineage: Bacteria; Bacillati; Bacillota; Bacilli; Caryophanales; Staphylococcaceae.